Molecule: ribosomal RNA, 250 nt
Filed under: uncultured prokaryote
Description: partial 16S rRNA
Rfam family: Bacterial small subunit ribosomal RNA
Source: RNAcentral
ACGUAGGGGGCGAGCGUUAUCCGGAAUUAUUGGGCGUAAAGAGUGCGUAGGUGGUUUUUUAAGCGUGGGGUGAAAGGCAGCGGCUCAACCGUUGUGAGCCUUGCGAACUGGAAGACUUGAGUGCAGGAGAGGAAAGCGGAAUUCCUAGUGUAGCGGUGAAAUGCGUAGAUAUUAGGAGGAACACCAGUGGCGAAGGCGGCUUUCUGGACUGUAACUGACACUGAGGCACGAAAGCGUGGGGAGCAAACAG